Molecule: ribosomal RNA, 473 nt
Filed under: uncultured bacterium
Lineage: Bacteria
Description: bacterial SSU rRNA
Rfam family: Bacterial small subunit ribosomal RNA
Source: RNAcentral
UCAGGACGAACGCUGGCGGCGUGCUUCAUACAUGCAAGUCGAACGCGAAGUCACCUUCGGGUGAUGGAAAGUGGCGGACGGGUGAGUAAUGUGUAGAGAAUCUGCCCUUAGCGGGGGACAACAGUUGGAAACGACUGCUAAUACCCCAUAUGCGCGUAGCUGAGAUGCUAUUCGUGAAAACUCCGGUGCUAAAGGAUGAGUCUGCAUCUGAUUAGCUAGUUGGGGGUGUAAUGGACCACCAAGGCGACGAUCAGUAGCUGGUUUGAGAGGAUGAUCAGCCACAAUGGGACUGAGACACGGCCCAUACUCCUACGGGAGGCAGCAGUAGGGAAUUUUGCGCAAUGGGGGCAACCCUGACGCAAGCAACGCCGCGUGAUUGAAUAAGCCCUUCGGGGUGUAAAGAUCUGUCAGUGGGGACGAAACUUGACGGUACCCACAGAGGAAGCAUCGGCUAACUCCGUGCCAGCAGCUGC